This is a long non-coding RNA of Gymnodraco acuticeps, 420 nucleotides long. RefSeq lists it as uncharacterized. The record is from RefSeq and is a predicted model, not a curated record. The transcript is spliced from 2 exons. NCBI's taxonomy places the organism in Eukaryota, Metazoa, Chordata, Actinopteri, Perciformes, Bathydraconidae.
UUGCAUUAUGAUACAGGAAUUUGCUGGCUUUGUGUUUACAGAAGUACCUGACUAUGCCGGACUUUUGUGCAGCCUACGGAUGCUCUAAUCACCGCAGUCUGCAAACAAGAACCCGUGGGAUCACCUUUCACAUGUUUCCCAAAACCGAAGAGAGGAGGAGGCAGUGGGAACUCGCCCUAAGAAGGGACGGUUUUGUUUCCUGUGACAGGACACUGCUCUGCAGUGAGCACUUCAGGAGUGAGGAAUUUGACCGGACAGGGCAGACUAAUGGCAAAUCGCUACCACUAGGAGCAUAUAUCGCCACCUACUAUGUAUUUAUUAAAUCUUCAUGUUCCAUGAGACGCAGCACUAUGUUCCCCACAUAUGUUUAUGUUUGCUCAGUCUAAUAAACCCAUAACAUGGUUGUGAAAGAAUACCAAA